This 528-nucleotide long non-coding RNA is filed under the name Elaeis guineensis (African oil palm). RNAcentral describes it as "long non-coding RNA (EGUI_LNC045511)". Lineage: Eukaryota; Viridiplantae; Streptophyta; Magnoliopsida; Arecales; Arecaceae. The record is from RNAcentral.
CUUGCAUAGGUCUUCAAGCACUCCUAAAUAUGACCCAUAAUUGAUGAUCAACCACCAUGCAGAUCUCAAAGCAUUUCAAAACUCUUUUAUUUAUCCUCCUGCAUAGAUCUCAAAGGUCAUUAAAAUAUGACCUAUAGAUAAGGAUCACCUACUGCAUAGAUCUUAAAGCACUCUGAACUCCUUCAUUCAUAAGGGUUGUGCCUCCUAAAUUUUCCAUCAUAUCAUCCUCGUGACCAUAUCACAAGCAUCAUCGCCAGUUGCUUCUUCUGCUCCCUUACUAGAGUUGUGCCUCCUGAACUUGUUCUCCUAGCGAUCAUGGUAGAUAAAUGAAUACCUAACUACACUCUAACUUAUUUUCUGCUACCUUCUCCCUUCCUCCUUGAUAAUGCUACUAACUGCUUUUACUAGCUCUUCUAUAGGAGUGAAGGAGAAAGCUUUGUUAGCAUACAUGGCCCUUCUUAUAUGGUAGGUAAGGAAUGAAAGACUUUUCAAGCUAAAUCCUUCCGGCCAAUGGAUCUUAUUCGGCAA